UUUGUGUUCGAGUUUUCUCUCAUUUCUCUCUACCCUUGGCCGCCCAACCUAUUUGAUGACCUCUGAUUUUUUUUCACACAAUUUCUCCCAAACCUCUCAUUCUCUCAUCUCCUCCCUUCUAUAAACAUAACCCUAAACCUAUUGGAAGUUUGUGUAAGCUAAGAAACAUCAUACAAAGCAAGAACACCAAAGAUUAAAGGUUUGAGCAAAGGGUAGAAGUGCUAGAGGUCUAAAACCAACCAAGUUGUCUACAAGAGAGUAUUACCAAGAAACUGAACGGAUCUUCAAUUUUCUUCACAGUCUUCCAAAGUAUCCUUGAAAUCACCUAGACUAGAGUAGGCAAUUCUCAACACACGAGAUAGAUACAUAGAGAAGAAGAUAAAAGAACAAAGAGGCUUAGAAAAUUAUUUGUGUUUAGAGAGAAUCUAAAAACUAUCAGAAAACCAGUGUCUGUCAUCUCUUGACUUAUGUUUUCAACUCUCUCUUAGCAUUCCUUAUAUAGAUUUAAUUAGGUCAUUUAAUUUAAUUAAAAAAUUAAUAAAAUAAUAGUCAAUAAUCAGCCUUAGGUCGAAAUUAUCAUGGGCUUUAGGCCCGUGAAAUUUCCCAUUUGAUUAUAAGCUUGCUGGACUUAAA
Long non-coding RNA from Humulus lupulus (European hop), 633 nucleotides. RefSeq lists it as uncharacterized. The transcript has 3 exons. NCBI's taxonomy places the organism in Eukaryota, Viridiplantae, Streptophyta, Magnoliopsida, Rosales, Cannabaceae. The record is from RefSeq and is a predicted model, not a curated record.